RNAcentral lists this ribosomal RNA (253 nucleotides) under uncultured bacterium. RNAcentral's name for it is "partial 16S ribosomal RNA". It matches the Rfam family "Bacterial small subunit ribosomal RNA", at positions 524 to 776 of the family's 1533-position model. The record is from RNAcentral.
UACGGAGGGAGCUAGUGUUGUUCGGAUUUACUGGGCGUAAAGGGCGCGUAGGUGGUGAUAUAAGUUAGGAGUGAAAUCCCGGAGCUUAACUCCGGAACUGCUUCUAAAACUGUAUAACUAGAGUGUGGUAGAGGGUAAUAGAAUUCCUAGUGUAGAGGUGAAAUUCUUAGAUAUUAGGAGGAAUACCGAUUGCGAAGGCAGUUACCUGGGCCAUUACUGACACUGAGGCGCGAAGGCGUGGGUAGCAAACAGG